This 76-nucleotide transfer RNA is filed under the name Kitasatospora xanthocidica. RNAcentral's name for it is "Streptomyces xanthocidicus tRNA-Leu". It matches the Rfam family "tRNA". From Rfam's summary of the family: Transfer RNA (tRNA) molecules are approximately 80 nucleotides in length. Their secondary structure includes four short double-helical elements and three loops (D, anti-codon, and T loops). The record is from RNAcentral. Lineage: Bacteria; Bacillati; Actinomycetota; Actinomycetes; Kitasatosporales; Streptomycetaceae.
GCCCCGAUAGCCCAGCGGUAGAGGCAGUGGUCUCAAACACCAUCCAGCGUGGGUUCGAAUCCCACUCGGGGUACCU